RNAcentral lists this ribosomal RNA (474 nucleotides) under uncultured organism. Its description in RNAcentral is "partial 16S ribosomal RNA". It matches the Rfam family "Bacterial small subunit ribosomal RNA", at positions 331 to 797 of the family's 1533-position model. The record is from RNAcentral.
GUACACUCCUGCGGGAGGCAGCAGUGGGGAAUUUUGGACAAUGGGGGCAACCCUGAUCCAGCAAUGCCGCGUGAGUGAAGAAGGCCUUCGGGUUGUAAAGCUCUUUUGUCAGGGAAGAAACGGUGGUGGCGAAUAACUACUACUAAUGACGGUACCUGAAGAAUAAGCACCGGCUAACUACGUGCCAGCAGCCGCGGUAAUACGUAGGGUGCAAGCGUUAAUCGGAAUUACUGGGCGUAAAGCGUGCGCAGGCGGUUGUGUAAGUCAGAUGUGAAAUCCCCGGGCUCAACCUGGGAAUUGCAUUUGAGACUGCACGGCUAGAGUGUGUCAGAGGGGGGUAGAAUUCCACGUGUAGCAGUGAAAUGCGUAGAUAUGUGGAGGAAUACCGAUGGCGAAGGCAGCCCCCUGGGAUAACACUGACGCUCAUGCACGAAAGCGUGGGGAGCAAACAGGAUUAGAAACCCCUGUAGUCCC